This 245-nucleotide ribosomal RNA is filed under the name uncultured bacterium. Its description in RNAcentral is "partial 16S ribosomal RNA". It matches the Rfam family "Bacterial small subunit ribosomal RNA", at positions 111 to 353 of the family's 1533-position model. The record is from RNAcentral.
UAACGCGUAUGCAACUUACCUAUCAGAGGGGGAGUAACCCGGCGAAAGUCGGACUAAUACCGCAUGAAGCAGGGGCCCCGCAUGGGGAUAUUUGCUAAAGAUUCAUCGCUGAUAGAUAGGCAUGCGUUCCAUUAGGCAGUUGGCGGGGUAACGGCCCACCAAACCUACGAUGGAUAGGGGUUCUGAGAGGAAGGUCCCCCACAUUGGACUGAGACACGGACCAAACUCCUACGGGAGGCAGCAUG